ACUCCCUGGCCCGCCCGCACACCUCCGCCCGCACGCAGACUGCCCACCCGCACCGUAGUCCGCUGUACCGCCCACGGCUGGCGAGGGUGAUGUCCGGCCAGCUGCUGGUCCUCCCAGGUGGCGGCGCCAGCCCCUGCCUCGGCCACAAGUUCCCCGGAAUUGAGAUGAACUCGCCCGAACAGCGCGCCGUGGACAACGUGUACAGCCCCCUCCCCGUGCCAUCCGCCCACACCGUCUUCGUCUUCCCUUGAGACGCUCACCUGCCUCCUGCGAUCUGUUUGUGGAUGCUGCCCACAAGGAUCCUCUCCCGCAGGAUCUCACAGGAGCGCCCGUGGGCCACCAGCGAGGCCGCUCUUCCGCUUAUAGUCAUGCCCUUAUAGAAGCAUACCACGGGCAGCAUGGCCCCGGGCAAGCGGUGGCCUCGUGUGUGUGGCACUGGCUGGGUGGCGCUGCUCCGCCAACGGUUUCAUCCGCUCAUUCUGUAUAUAUACAUGAAAGAUUAUGCAUUAUGUGUAUAUCCAUUUUUCCAUUGCAUUUGCACAUUCUUUUCAUCAGUGACGUGUGAACUACCUGUGAUUUUUGUUUGGACUGUGACUGCAUCUAGUCUUAUUGUUGUUUUGUUGAGAAAUAUAUCUUUUCUUUGAA
This is a long non-coding RNA of Penaeus chinensis, 645 nucleotides long. RefSeq lists it as uncharacterized. Lineage: Eukaryota; Metazoa; Arthropoda; Malacostraca; Decapoda; Penaeidae. The record is from RefSeq and is a predicted model, not a curated record. The transcript has 2 exons.